RNAcentral lists this ribosomal RNA (319 nucleotides) under uncultured eukaryote. RNAcentral's name for it is "partial 18S ribosomal RNA". It matches the Rfam family "Eukaryotic small subunit ribosomal RNA", at positions 1470 to 1796 of the family's 1831-position model. The record is from RNAcentral.
CCCUUAGAUGUUCUGGGCCGCACGCGUGCUACACUGAGUGGAUCAGCGGGUCAGGUUGCGCGAAAGUGUUUCCUAAUCUUGAAAUCCGCUCGUGAUGGGGAUUGACGGUUGCAAUUUUCCGUCAUGAACGAGGAAUACCUUGUAAGCGCGGGUCAUCAUCCCGCGCUGAAUACGUCCCUGCCCUUUGUACACACCGCCCGUCGCUCCUACCGAUUGAAUGCUCAGGUGAGCCAUUCGGACCUUCAUCAUGCCGGUUUCCGGUUUUGAUGAGGGAAAGUCUUGCGAACCUUAUCAUUUAGAGGAAGGAGAAGUCGUAACA